UGCCAGCAGCCGCGGUAAUUCCAGCUCUGAUAGUAUAUAUUAAAGUUGUUGCAGUUAAAAAGCUCGUAGUUGAAACUUGGGUGCGUAGGGGCGGUCUCUUUU
Molecule: ribosomal RNA, 102 nt
Filed under: Geotrichum candidum
Lineage: Eukaryota; Fungi; Ascomycota; Dipodascomycetes; Dipodascales; Dipodascaceae
Description: partial 18S ribosomal RNA
Rfam family: Eukaryotic small subunit ribosomal RNA
Source: RNAcentral